UGCAGUCGAGGGGCAGCGGGGAUGAAGCUUGCUUCAUCUGCCGGCGACCGGCGCACGGGUGAGUAACACGUAUGCAACCUGCCCGCCACAGGGGGAUAAACGCUGGAAACGGCGCCUAAUACCCCAUACUAUCGCUAUGCUGCAUGGCAUGGCGAUGAAAACUCCGGUGGUGGCGGAUGGGCAUGCGGCGCAUUAGCUAGUUGGAGGGGUAACGGCCCACCAAGGCGACGAUGCGUAGGGGUUCUGAGAGGAAGGUCCCCCACACUGGUACUGAGACACGGACCAGACUCCUACGGGAGGCAGCAGUGAGGAAUAUUGGUCAAUGGGCGGGAGCCUGAACCAGCCAAGUCGCGUGAGGGAAGACGGCCCUACGGGUUGUAAACCUCUUUAGUCGGGGAGCAAAAAGGACCACGCGUGGUCCAUUGAGCGUACCCGAAGAAUAAGCAUCGGCUAACUCCGUGCCAGCAGCCGCGGUAAUACGGAGGAUGCGAGCGUUAUCCGGAUUUAUUGGGUUUAAAGGGUGCGUAGGCGGUUUGUCAAGUCAGCGGUAAAAUUUCGGGGCUCAACCCCGUCGUGCCGUUGAAACUGACGGGCUGGAGUUGCAGCGGAGCAUGCGGAAUGCGCAGUGUAGCGGUGAAAUGCAUAGAUAUUGCGCAGAACUCCGAUCGCGAAGGCAGCGUGCUAGCUGCAAACUGACGCUGAGGCACGAAAGCGCGGGUAUCGAACAGGAUUAGAUACCCUGGUAGUCCGCGCAGUAAACGAUGGAUACUUGCCUUCCGCUCCGAAUGCGGAGUGCGAGGCGCAGCGAAAGCGUUAAGUAUCCCACCUGGGGAGUACGCCGGCAACGGUGAAACUCAAAGGAAUUGACGGGGGCCCGCACAAGCGGAGGAACAUGUGGUUUAAUUCGAUGAUACGCGAGGAACCUUACCCGGGCUCGAACGCAAGUUGACGAUAAGGGAAACCUUAUUUCCAGCAAUGGCAAUUUGCGAGGUGCUGCAUGGUUGUCGUCAGCUCGUGCCGUGAGGUGUCGGCUUAAGUGCCAUAACGAGCGCAACCCCCAUCCAUAGUUGCCCCCGGGUGAUGCCGGGCACUCUAUGGAGACUGCCGGCGCAAGCUGCGAGGAAGGCGGGGAUGACGUCAAAUCAGCACGGCCCUUACGUCCGGGGCGACACACGUGUUACAAUGGCGGGGCACAGCGGGAUGCUGCAUGGCGACAUGUGGCUGACCCCUAAAACCCGUCUCAGUUCGGAUUGGAGUCUGCAACCCGACUCCAUGAAGCUGGAUUCGCUAGUAAUCGCGCAUCAGCCACGGCGCGGUGAAUACGUUCCCGGGCCUUGUACACACCGCCCGUCAAGCCAUGGGAGCCUGGAGCGCUUGAAGUCCGCUGCCGCGAGGGGCGGCC
Molecule: ribosomal RNA, 1402 nt
Filed under: uncultured bacterium
Lineage: Bacteria
Description: bacterial SSU rRNA
Rfam family: Bacterial small subunit ribosomal RNA
Source: RNAcentral